CCUCCUCAUACAAUUAAAGCAGAUAAGCUUCUGGAGCAUAUUUUGGAACAUCAGGAGCGGAUGAGGGAGCGACUAUUGACAGACAUACUGUUUGAAAUGCUUUUUGACAGAUCGCUUUAAGUACCGCGUGGUUAAGCAGAUCUUCUCCGGAGGGGACCAGACAUUUGUACUUUGCUCCACAUAUGAGAAUUCUUCUCCUGCUGUUGACUUCAGAACUGUGAACCAAGCACAUUAUACCAACUUAAUAAAUGACGAAACCAUAGCAGUUUGGAGACAAAAGCUCACAGAACACAACAACGCAAAUACAGUCAAUGGUGUUGUUCAGAUACUGUCUUCUGCAGCUUGUUGGAAUGGAAGCUUUCUGGAAAAAAAGUAA
This 376-nucleotide long non-coding RNA is filed under the name Rattus norvegicus (Norway rat). RNAcentral's name for it is "long non-coding RNA NONRATT020514". Lineage: Eukaryota; Metazoa; Chordata; Mammalia; Rodentia; Muridae. The record is from RNAcentral.